Molecule: non-coding RNA, 74 nt
Organism: Podarcis lilfordi (Lilford's wall lizard)
Lineage: Eukaryota; Metazoa; Chordata; Lepidosauria; Squamata; Lacertidae
Source: the annotation of a GenBank genome assembly
UAUUGGAUAGCUCAGUCGGUAGAGCAUGAAACUCUUAAUCUCAGGGUUGUGGGUUCAAGUCCCAUGUUGAGUAA